CACGUAGGGGGCAAGCGUUGUCCGGAUUCAUUGGGCGUAAAGAGCUCGUAGGCGGUUCGAUAAGUCGGGUGUGAAACCUCCAGGCUCAACCUGGAGACGCCACCCGAUACUGUCGUGACUAGAGUCCAGUAGGGGAGCGUGGAAUUCCUGGUGUAGUGGUGGAAUGCGUAGAUAUCGGGAGGAACACCAGUGGCGAAAGCGGCGCUCUGGGCCUAAACUGACGCUGAGGGGCGAAAGCGUGGGGAGCGAACGGG
This 254-nucleotide ribosomal RNA is filed under the name uncultured bacterium. RNAcentral's name for it is "partial 16S ribosomal RNA". It matches the Rfam family "Bacterial small subunit ribosomal RNA", at positions 524 to 776 of the family's 1533-position model. The record is from RNAcentral.